ACACUCCUACGGGAGGCAGCAGUGGGGAAUAUUGGACAAUGGGCGCAAGCCUGAUCCAGCCAUGCCGCGUGAGUGAUGAAGGCCCUAGGGUUGUAAAGCUCUUUCACCGGUGAAGAUAAUGACGGUAACCGGAGAAGAAGCCCCGGCUAACUUCGUGCCAGCAGCCGCGGUAAUACGAAGGGGGCUAGCGUUGUUCGGAUUUACUGGGCGUAAAGCGCACGUAGGCGGACUAUUAAGUCAGGGGUGAAAUCCCGGGGCUCAACCCCGGAACUGCCUUUGAUACUGGUAGUCUUGAGUUCGAGAGGGGUGAGUGGAAUUCCGAGUGUAGAGGUGAAAUUCGUAGAUAUUCGGAGGAACACCAGUGGCGAAGGCGGCUCACUGGCUCGAUACUGACGCUGAGGUGCGAAAGCGUGGGGAGCAAACAGGAUUAGAAACCCCUGUAGUCCCAUGAU
Molecule: ribosomal RNA, 452 nt
Filed under: uncultured organism
Description: partial 16S ribosomal RNA
Rfam family: Bacterial small subunit ribosomal RNA
Source: RNAcentral